UUUCAUUUUAUUUUGGAUCAAAUGCUCCACAACUAGUUGAAACUGGAAUUAAAUUUUAUAUGAAGUUCCUAGAUGAUUUAAAGCUGUAAGAAGAAGAAUAAUGAAUCAUAAGAAAACUUGCUGCUACAGAUAUCAAAAAGGAAUGUUACCAUCCCUCAUGCUAAUCCUUUUCAUUUUAAAUAAACAGGAUCUAAAAAAAAUAAUGCUGGGAAGUCCUAACCACAUCAAGAAUGCCUCAGAUCAGUGACCCAAGGAACCUUCCAGAAUGGAUGAAAUAGACCCAAAGCUGAAUUCACCUAAUUUUAGGGCCAAAAACCCAAAAAACAAAACAAGACCAAAAAAAUCUUCAGAUACUGGGAGAACAAAUCUCAAUUGCUCAAUUGUAUCUUAUGAAAACAAUUUUUCAAAAUAAAACAAGAG
This 420-nucleotide long non-coding RNA is filed under the name Homo sapiens (human). Its description in RNAcentral is "LHRI_LNC597.1". Lineage: Eukaryota; Metazoa; Chordata; Mammalia; Primates; Hominidae. The record is from RNAcentral.